AAAGACUCAAUUCCUGAGUUUUUGUGUUUAACGUUUGACUGUCCGUCUUAUAUGAAAUUUUUUUAUAAUUAGUAUUUUCAUUGUUAUUAGAUGAUAAAUCAUGAAUAAUAUUUUAUGUGUGAUUUAUCUUUUUAAUUUUUUUUAUAAUAUUUUCAAAUAAGACGGACGGUCAAACGUUAGACACGAAAACCUAUA
Molecule: microRNA precursor, 195 nt
Filed under: Oryza rufipogon (brownbeard rice)
Lineage: Eukaryota; Viridiplantae; Streptophyta; Magnoliopsida; Poales; Poaceae
Description: MIR812 microRNA precursor family
Rfam family: MIR812 microRNA precursor family
Source: Rfam by way of RNAcentral